CCCAUAAUGGCAUCAUUGUAUCUGUCCCAUAAUGGCAUCAUUGUAUCUAUAGACAUGGCAUCAUUGUAUCUGUCCCAUAAUGGCAUCAUUGUAUCUGUCCCAUAACGGCAUCAUUGUAUCUGUCCCAUAACGGCAUCAUUGUAUCUGUCCCAUAACGGCAUCAUUGUAUCUGUCCCAUAACGGCAUCAUUGUAUCUGUCCCAUAACAGCAUCAUUGUAUAGAUAGACAUGGCAUCAUUGUAUCUGUCCCAUAAUGGCAUCAUUGUAUCUAUAGACAUGGCAUCACUGUAUCUGUCCCAUAACGGCAUCAUUUCAUCUGUCCCAUAACGGCAUCACUGUAUCUGUCCCAUAACGGCAUCAUUGUAUCUGCCCCAUAACGGCAUCUUUGUAUCCAUAGACAUGGCAUCAUUUUAUCUGUCCCAUAACGACAUCAUUGUAUCUGUCCCAUAACAGCAUCAUUGUAUUUGUCCCAUAACAGCAUCAUUUUAUCCAUCCCACAAGGGCAUCAUUGUAUCUGUCCCAUAAUGGCGACGCUAUUAAUAAUGGCAACCCCAUUGAGGGCAUCUCAAUUUUGAAGUAGUCCAUUUUCUUCUACAACUUCUUCAAUGAGUUGGUAAACAAACUGAAAGGGAGCACACUGCCCCCCGCAGGAUGUUGUCUGAACAGGUAUAAAGCCAAGGAUGCUGAUUUAAUGCCACCUGCAAUUAUGGGAUGUUUGCUCACACAUAUAAUGAAUUGGCUGAUCCCUGCUGAUGACCCAGAUGGAAUCAUUCCUUAACCCAUAGGAAGUCUCACCCAGCUGACUACUUCCAAAUGGUGAAAGUCCUCAGUGGCGCUGCACAUCCUAAAACAGUUUUAUGGGCACUAGAGUCCUCUAUCUAACUCUAUGGUUGGGAAACACCACUUACCUCCUUGUGUAUUCUCAAUAGUGUAGCCUUAGGGGUGUGUUCAAUAGUCUCUAGUGUAGCCUUAGGGGUGAGUUUCAAUAGUCUCUAGUGUAGCCUAGGGGUGAGUCUCAAUAGUCUCUAGUGUAGUCUAGAGGUAAGUCUCAAUAUUCUCUAGUGUAGUCAAGGGGUGAGUCUCAAUAGUCUCUAGUGUAGUCAAGGGGUGAGUCUCAUUACUGUUUCGUCUGUUAUACUAAUGCUGCCACUAGAUGGGGUCAGAUGGACCUGCAAGUGACAUUUUUAAUUUGGUAUUCUAGUUCAACUAUUGAGAUGCAUCGCUGGGAGGAAACAAAACUAGACUGUUGAGAUGUACCGCUAGAAGGAUAUGAGACUAGAUUAUUGAGAUGUAGCCCUAGAAGGAUAUUAGACUAGAUUAUUGAGAUGUACCCCUAGAAGGAUAUUAGACUAGAUUAUUGAGAUUUACCCCUAGAAGGAUAUUAGAC
This is a long non-coding RNA of Oncorhynchus tshawytscha (Chinook salmon), 1386 nucleotides long. The record is from Ensembl. NCBI's taxonomy places the organism in Eukaryota, Metazoa, Chordata, Actinopteri, Salmoniformes, Salmonidae.